UUGAUCCUGGCUCAGAAUCAACGCUGGCGGCGUGCCUAACACAUGCAAGUCGAGCGAGAAAAGGUAGCAAUACCUUAGUAAAGCGGCGCACGGGUGAGUUACACGUGGAUGACCUGCCUCGAAGUGGGGAAUAACCCCGGGAAACCGGAUCUAAUACCGCAUAAUCUGACGAGAUCUGAGGAUUUCGGCAGCAAAGGAGUAAUUCGCUUUGAGAGGGGUCCGCGGCUGAUUAGCUAGUUGGUGAGGUAAUGGCUCACCAAGGCCACGAUCAGUAGCCGGUCUGAGAGGACGGUCGGCCAUACUGGAACUGAGACACGGUCCAGACUCCUACGGGAGGCAGCAGUGGGGAUUUUUUCGCAAUGGGGGCAACCCUGACGAAGCAACGCCGCGUGGGUGAUGUAGUAUUUCGGUACGUAAAACCCUUUCGACGGGGACGAAACCGCAAGGUUUACGGUACCCGUAGAAGAAGCCCCGGCUAACUCCGUGCCAGCAGCCGCGGUAAUAAGGU
RNAcentral lists this ribosomal RNA (508 nucleotides) under uncultured Acidobacteriota bacterium. RNAcentral's name for it is "bacterial SSU rRNA". It matches the Rfam family "Bacterial small subunit ribosomal RNA", at positions 13 to 529 of the family's 1533-position model. Lineage: Bacteria; Pseudomonadati; Acidobacteriota. The record is from RNAcentral.